GAUGAAGAACGUAGCGAAAUGCGAUAAGUAGUGUGAAUUGCAGAAUUCAGUGAAUCAUCGAGUCUUUGAACGCACAUUGCGCCCCCUGGUAUUCCGGGGGGCAUGCCUGUCCGAGCGUCAUUGCUGCCCUCAAGCACGGCUUGUGUGUUGGGCCCCGUCCUCCGAUUCCGGGGGACGGGCCCGAAAGGCAGCGGCGGCACCGCGUCCGGUCCUCGAGCGUAUGGGGCUUUGUCACCCGCUCUGUAGGCCCGGCCGGCGCUUGCCGAUCAACCCAAAUUUUUAUCCAGGUUGACCUCGGAUCAGGUAGGGAUACCCGCUGAACUUAAGCAUAUCAAUAAGCGGAGGA
This 346-nucleotide unclassified non-coding RNA is filed under the name soil metagenome. RNAcentral describes it as "partial contains 5.8S ribosomal RNA, internal transcribed spacer 2, and large subunit ribosomal RNA". The stretch from base 1 to 120 matches the Rfam family "5.8S ribosomal RNA", at positions 35 to 154 of the family's 154-position model. The record is from RNAcentral.